CAGUAGCCGCGGGAAUACGAGGGGGGCAAGCGUUGUUCGGAAUUAUUGGGCGUAAAGGGUGCGUAGGCGGUUUGGCAAGUUUGGUGUGAAAUCUUCGGGCUCAACUCGAAGUCUGCAUCGAAAACUGCCGGGCUUGAGUAUGGGAGAGGUGAGUGGAAUUUCCGGUGUAGCGGUGAAAUGCGUAGAUAUCGGAAGGAACACCUGUGGCGAAAGCGGCUCACUGGACCAUAACUGACGCUGAUGCACGAAAGCUAGGGGAGCAAACAGGAUUAGAUACCCCAGUAGUCCCUGUCUCUUAUAC
Molecule: ribosomal RNA, 301 nt
Filed under: uncultured bacterium
Lineage: Bacteria
Description: partial 16S ribosomal RNA
Rfam family: Bacterial small subunit ribosomal RNA
Source: RNAcentral